RNAcentral lists this ribosomal RNA (853 nucleotides) under uncultured Flavobacteriaceae bacterium. RNAcentral's name for it is "bacterial SSU rRNA". It matches the Rfam family "Bacterial small subunit ribosomal RNA", at positions 38 to 884 of the family's 1533-position model. Lineage: Bacteria; Pseudomonadati; Bacteroidota; Flavobacteriia; Flavobacteriales; Flavobacteriaceae. The record is from RNAcentral.
AGCGGCAGCUUAACACAUGCAAGUCGAACGGUAACUCUUAGUGCUUGCACUAAAAGACGAGUGGCGGACGGGUGCGUAACGCGUAUGCAAUCUACCUUUUACUAGGGAAUAGCCCAGAGAAAUUUGGAUUAAUCCCCUAUAAUAUCAAAAAUUCGCAUGAUUUUUUGAUUAAAGUUUCGACGGUAAAAGAUGAGCAUGCGUCCUAUUAGUUUGUAGGUGAGGUAAUGGCUCACCUAGACUACGAUAGGUAGGGGCCCUGAGAGGGGGAUCCCCCACACUGGUACUGAGACACGGACCAGACUCCUACGGGAGGCAGCAGUGAGGAAUAUUGGACAAUGGACGAAAGUCUGAUCCAGCUAUGCCGCGUGCAGGAUGACAGCCCUACGGGUUGUAAACUGCUUUUAUACAGGAAGAAAAACUCCGACGUGUCGGGGCUUGACGGUACUGUAAGAAUAAGGAUCGGCUAACUCCGUGCCAGCAGCCGCGGUAAUACGGAGGAUCCAAGCGUUAUCCGGAAUUAUUGGGUUUAAAGGGUCCGCAGGCGGUUUUUUAAGUCAGAGGUGAAAUCCUACAGCUCAACUGUAGAAUUGCCUUUGAUACUGAAAGACUUGAGUUAUUGUGAAGUGGUUAGAAUGUGUGGUGUAGCGGUGAAAUGCAUAGAUAUCACACAGAAUACCAAUUGCGAAGGCAGAUCACUAACAAUUAACUGACGCUCAGGGACGAAAGCGUGGGUAGCGAACAGGAUUAGAUACCCUGGUAGUCCACGCCGUAAACGAUGGAUACUAGCUGUAUGUCUACUUCAGGUAGAUGUGUGGCCAAGCGAAAGUGAUAAGUAUCCCACCUGGGGAGUACG